RNAcentral lists this ribosomal RNA (301 nucleotides) under uncultured bacterium. RNAcentral's name for it is "partial 16S ribosomal RNA". It matches the Rfam family "Bacterial small subunit ribosomal RNA", at positions 509 to 807 of the family's 1533-position model. The record is from RNAcentral.
CAGUCGCCGCGGGAAUACGUAGGUGGCAAGCGUUGUCCGGAAUUAUUGGGCGUAAAGGGCUCGCAGGCGGUUUCUUAAGUCUGAUGUGAAAGCCCCCGGCUCAACCGGGGAGGGUCAUUGGAAACUGGGAAACUUGAGUGCAGAAGAGGAGAGUGGAAUUCCACGUGUAGCGGUGAAAUGCGUAGAGAUGUGGAGGAACACCAGUAGCGAAGGCGACUCUCUGGUCUGUAACUGACGCUGAGGAGCGAAAGCGUGGAGAGCGAACAGGAUUAGAUACCCCCGUAGUCCCUGUCUCUUAUAC